This 68-nucleotide transfer RNA is filed under the name Marmota monax (woodchuck). Its description in RNAcentral is "tRNA.Gly". The record is from RNAcentral. Lineage: Eukaryota; Metazoa; Chordata; Mammalia; Rodentia; Sciuridae.
GGUUUGUGGCUCAGCGGUAGAGCGCUUGCCUCCCACGUGCAAGACACUGGGUUCGAUCCUCAGCACCA